This 220-nucleotide long non-coding RNA is filed under the name Malus domestica (apple). RNAcentral's name for it is "long non-coding RNA (MDOM_LNC000586)". Lineage: Eukaryota; Viridiplantae; Streptophyta; Magnoliopsida; Rosales; Rosaceae. The record is from RNAcentral.
UGGGAGAAUGAUCUCGUAAUCACGAAACUUCUAAGUACCGGAGUGUGGUAUCGUCUUGACUUGCCUUAUCUGUCUCGUAGGUAGAUGUGGCAUCUUCUCUGGAAGUACUCUUCCUCCAUCCAGGGGUGGUAUCUUUAACUGGUGGAGAUGCACAAGGUAAUGUAUCAAUUUCACUUGAAGCUUACUUGUAGUUUCAGGCUUGGUCAAUCGCGAUACAAAC